RNAcentral lists this ribosomal RNA (246 nucleotides) under uncultured Anaeromyxobacter sp. RNAcentral's name for it is "partial 16S ribosomal RNA". It matches the Rfam family "Bacterial small subunit ribosomal RNA", at positions 67 to 299 of the family's 1533-position model. Lineage: Bacteria; Pseudomonadati; Myxococcota; Myxococcia; Myxococcales; Anaeromyxobacteraceae. The record is from RNAcentral.
CGAGAAAGCCCGCAAGGGUGAGUACAGCGGCGCACGGGUGCGUAACACGUGAGUAAUCUACCCUCGUGCCCGGUACAACCUGCCGAAAGGGAAGUUAAUGCCGGAUAAGCCCACGGGGUCCUUGGAUUCUGAGGGAAAAGGCGGCCUCUGUAUACAAGCUGUCACUGCAAGAUGAGUUCGCGGCCCAUCAGCUAGUUGGCGGGGUAAUAGCCCACCAAGGCUACGACGGGUAGCUGGUCUGAGAGG